CAGAACGAACGCUGGCGGCGUGCUUAACACGUGCAAGUCGAACGAGAAAAUCGUAGCAAUACGGUGAGUAAAGUGGCGCACGGGUCCGUAACACGUGGAUAAUCGUUCCUAUAGGCAAGGGACAACCUGUCGAAAGACGGGCUAAUACCUUAUAAGACCACGAAAUCCUUGGAAUUUUGGGGUAAAAGGUGGCCUCUAUUUAUAAGCUAUCACCUUUAUGAUGAGUCCGCGCACCAGUUAGCUAGUUGGUGGGGUAAAAGCUCACCAAGGCCAAGAUGGUUAGCUGGUCUGAGAGGACGACCAGCGACACUGGAACUGAGACACGGUCCAGACUCCUACGGGAGGCAGCAGUGGGGAAUUUUGGACAAUGGGCGAAAGCCUGAUCCAGCAACGCCGCGUGAAGUGAUGAAGGCCUUCGGGUUGUAAAGCUCUGUCGGAGGGAACGAAUAAAGGCCACCUAAUACGUGGUCAUAUGACGGUACCCUUAAAGGAAGCACCGGCUAACUCUGUGCCAGCCGCCGC
Molecule: ribosomal RNA, 522 nt
Filed under: uncultured bacterium
Lineage: Bacteria
Description: bacterial SSU rRNA
Rfam family: Bacterial small subunit ribosomal RNA
Source: RNAcentral